This 370-nucleotide unclassified non-coding RNA is filed under the name Hevea brasiliensis (rubber tree). Lineage: Eukaryota; Viridiplantae; Streptophyta; Magnoliopsida; Malpighiales; Euphorbiaceae. The record is from RNAcentral.
GACAGUUCACAGGAAGCGCCCACGCGGGCGUUAACUGGCAAUCCGGCGCAUUCGUUUACGGCGUCGAGGGUGAGCUUGGUUAUCUCAACAUCGGCAAGCGUCAGACCGGCACUGGCACUUAUGUGUCGGGCGGCGGCGGGGGGGCCGGGCUCGGCGGGGGCCCCGUCUGACUUCCUUCUGACCUUCCGCGGACGCCUUGGUUAUGCGGUCUCCCCCAACCUCCUCGCAUACGGCACUGGUGGCCUCGCGGUUGGCCGCACGACAGUGUCCAGCAACUAUCAGGACACGCACACGCACAGUGAUCCGCUCGGCGGCAAUGGCGUGGUUACAGAUUCACGGUUCCGGCUCGGUUGGACCGUUGGCGCGGGCC